RNAcentral lists this ribosomal RNA (253 nucleotides) under uncultured bacterium. RNAcentral's name for it is "partial 16S ribosomal RNA". It matches the Rfam family "Bacterial small subunit ribosomal RNA", at positions 524 to 776 of the family's 1533-position model. The record is from RNAcentral.
UACGGGGGGUGCGAGCGUUGUCCGGAAUCACUGGGCGUAAAGGGCGCGCAGGCGGUCUGAUAAGGGUGUGGUGAAAGCCCGGGGCUCAACCCCGGGUCGGCCGUGCCGACUGUUGGACUAGAGUGCUGUAGGGGCAGGCGGAAUUCCGGGUGUAGCGGUGGAAUGCGUAGAGAUCCGGAGGAAGACCGGUGGCGAAGGCGGCCUGCUGGGCAGUUACUGACACUGAGGCGCGGCAGCGUGGGGAGCAAACAGG